RNAcentral lists this ribosomal RNA (461 nucleotides) under Propionivibrio sp. oral taxon C33. RNAcentral describes it as "bacterial SSU rRNA". It matches the Rfam family "Bacterial small subunit ribosomal RNA", at positions 30 to 483 of the family's 1533-position model. The record is from RNAcentral. Lineage: Bacteria; Pseudomonadati; Pseudomonadota; Betaproteobacteria; Rhodocyclales; Rhodocyclaceae.
AUUGAACGCUGGCGGCAUGCCUUACACAUGCAAGUCGGACGGCAGCACGGGUGCUUGCACCUGGUGGCGAGUGGCGAACGGGUGAGUAAAGCAUCGGAACGUACCCGGGAGUGGGGGAUAACGUAGCGAAAGUUACGCUAAUACCGCAUACCCUGUGAGCAGGAAAGCGGGGGCUCGCAAGACCUCGCGCUUUCGGAGCGGCCGAUGUCGGAUUAGCUAGUUGGUGGGGUAAAGGCCUACCAAGGCAACGAUCCGUAGCGGGUCUGAGAGGAUGAUCCGCCACACUGGGACUGAGACACGGCCCAGACUCCUACGGGAGGCAGCAGUGGGGAAUUUUGGACAAUGGGCGCAAGCCUGAUCCAGCCAUGCCGCGUGAGUGAAGAAGGCCUUCGGGUUGUAAAGCUCUUUUGUUGGGAAAGAAAAGAUUCGGGCUAAUACCCUGGAUUAAUGACGGACCCAAA